UUUCCGUAGGUGAACCUGCGGAAGGAUCAUUAACGAGUUUGGGUCUUCUAGGCCCGACCUCCCAACCCUUUGUUUACUGAACCAUUGUUGCCUCGGUGGGUCCGUCUUACGACCGCCGGGGGAUCGCCGCGAGGCGCCCCCUGGCCAGCGCCCACCGAUAGCCCAACCUUUAAAACCCUUUGUGAAUCGUGUCUUAUGUCUAAACUUAUGAUUAAACAAUCAAAACAAAACUUUCAACAACGGAUCUCUUGGUUCUG
RNAcentral lists this unclassified non-coding RNA (257 nucleotides) under plant metagenome. RNAcentral's name for it is "partial contains small subunit ribosomal RNA, internal transcribed spacer 1, and 5.8S ribosomal RNA". The record is from RNAcentral.